GUAAACUCUUCCAGCCUGAUGCUCAUGGAUUUCUAGUGAAGGUAAGGAAGCAGAGACUCAGAGAGGACAACUGGCUUGCCUCAAUUCCUACCACAAGUGAGAUCCGAAGACACGAAUUCAGCUCUAAUCUCCUGUUGUCCUUUUUUUUUUUUUCUGGCUGCAAUUAUUCCACUGUAACAGACCACUCCUGAGACAGCCAGGUGGGAAGGUGGUCCCUGGAAAAACUCCAACCAGCAUGCGCACUGAGAAGGCGCACUGAGGUGGAGUCACAGAAGUUCCCGCCAUUUGCAAUGGGGAGGAGCCUGACUCCUCCUCUUCCUGUGUGGAACCUGGGAUUCAAACUGCGAGACAGUCCUGCAAUACUACCAUCUUGGAUAACCUCUUUCAAAUCUUUGUAAUUUGAAAAUUUUAAAAGUUAUUGAAUUCAUUUUGUUCUUUGUUUGUGUGUUUGUUUCCUCAGAGAAAGGAAGCCUAUUUAAUGCCAUGUGAAGGCCUCACUCUUUCUUCCUAGUCUUGCU
Molecule: long non-coding RNA, 518 nt
Filed under: Homo sapiens (human)
Lineage: Eukaryota; Metazoa; Chordata; Mammalia; Primates; Hominidae
Description: HSALNT0047944
Source: RNAcentral